This 565-nucleotide long non-coding RNA is filed under the name Felis catus (domestic cat). Its description in RNAcentral is "lncRNA (ENSFCAG00000043857.2)". The record is from RNAcentral. Lineage: Eukaryota; Metazoa; Chordata; Mammalia; Carnivora; Felidae.
AUGCUGGUUAUUCUCCAUUUACCACCCCUUGGAUACAUUCUCAAUCCCCUCAGGCAUCCUCUGUGUCCUAAGAGGCUGACCUAUGAGCUGCAUCUCCUGACCUUCUGGCUUCUGUUUGGAAACAACCAGUGGGAAGCACCAGUAGGAGUGUGGAGGUUGGGUGGUAAUAACAGGUCUCAUGAGAGUUGUCUUAGAAAGCACUUUAAGAGAUCUACAACAAGCAAAGAGCUGGAUUUCUGGAUUGCCUGGGCCUGGGCCUGGGAUCCUUGGUUUAAAAAGAGUCACUGUCAUAAACAGAGUUAUUUUAUGAACAGGGGAGGGACAAAGAGAGGAGGAGGACAGAGCAUCUGAAGCUGGCUCUGUGCUGACAGCAGCGAGCCUAAUGCAGGGCUUGAACUCAAACCCAUGAGAUCAUCACCUGACCCAAAGUCGUAUGCUCAACCGACUGAGCCACCCAGGUGCCUCAGGUAUGUGCUUUAUAAAUAUCUUACACACUAGGUGGCUUGCUCAUUUAUUCUCUUAAUAUAUCUUUUGAUGAAUAAAUACUUCAAUUUUAAUAAUGUCA